Molecule: long non-coding RNA, 1435 nt
Organism: Ostrea edulis (European flat oyster)
Lineage: Eukaryota; Metazoa; Mollusca; Bivalvia; Ostreida; Ostreidae
Exons: 2
Source: RefSeq, a predicted model, not a curated record
UCAAUAUUUCCAAAAUCGAAGAAGUUUCAGUAUGACGUAUUUACGACUUGCUAUAUACAUGUACACUUCCUAAACUACAAGAGCACAGUUUGAUAGGCAUAGUUGAAAGAAAAGAUUUUACUAACAAAAGAGGACACAAAAGAACGAGAAAAAGACGUCAAAGCAAUUGAAAACAAAAUGGCCGAAAACUCUGCAAAUGAAAAGGAAAGGUUUAAUGCAACACAAUCGCAGAUUGACGAGCUGAAAAAGAAGCAUCAGCGAGAUAAGGUGCAUUGGCAGAUGCUUGAACAAAAGAUCAAAGAAUUAAAAAAGGCUCUAGGAGAUAGCACAGGGGAGGAGAAGGAAAAGUUGAAACAAGUAUUGGAAAAGUAUGAGACCGAAUUGUCCUCCAUUGAGGCUGUAAUGGAGAGCGACGCACGUAAAAUCAAAGAAAGCAUGAAGAGGAAAGAAAGGAAGAGAAUGACAGAGACAGAAAAACAGAAAAGAAACCUGGGAUCUAGGGAAGAAAUAGAAAAAGAAAAAGGCUUUUUUCACAAGAAUGAAAGAUUAAUAGAAUGCUUCGUCAGUACGAGUGUGGGAUAGAGAAAUUCCACCGAGGAGACAAGAUUCGCAGUCUAGGACGAGGCUUUGCCGAGUCCUAGACAGCGAAUCUAGUUCCAGAAGUGGUAUUUUCCUAUCACUCACGAGUAAAUAAUGAAGGAUUAUUUUUCUCACAUUUUACCUACAGUUUAGUGCAUAAAUUUAGGAGCUUCGAGAAAAUUCUAAAUUAUCAAAAUCCUCAUUUGAACUUCAAUGCAAAAUCUAAGUAGAUGGGCAGAAAGAGCAUACCUGAAAAUGGAUUACACUAUAACUGUAAACUAAAAAACCCAAUGUUGUCCAACAGAAACCUAUACUACAUUGAAAUUUGAAGAAAACAGUGCAAAAUAUUUUACUUCACCAUGUAACGUAAAUCUUCACCAUGUAACGUAAAUCAUAGAAGAUAUAUGAUCACAUGGCUGUCUCACAUAGGUAAAGUCGAUCUCACACUGGUGAUAAUGUGAGAAAAAUAGUCUCUCGCUAAACAAGAAUAUUGAAUCCAUUGAACUGGUUUUCCUCGUUGCAUUGCUUGACAAAAAUCCGUACACGGCAAAAUGAAUUCCCAUGUACAUUGCAAUAAAAUGCACAUUUAGUGUAACUUUCAAUUAAUAAUUUGUACUCACUUUGCCGAUUAUAAAGCGUAAACUGAUCUAGGUCAGGUUAUAUCUUAUAAUAUACCCAAGGCGGGAAUAGAAGUCUUCGCUAGUAUAAAAUCCAAAAAACCAUGUGACAACAAAAUUGAAAUAUGUAAAAGUAUAAAGUAUAUCACAAAUGUAUAUGAAUUUGAUUCAGAUUUUAUUUUCUUGUAAGUUUUGUUCAUACAUAAAAUAAAACAAGCAGCUACUAAGAAAGAAUGUAA